Molecule: ribosomal RNA, 2922 nt
Filed under: Klebsiella pneumoniae HK787
Lineage: Bacteria; Pseudomonadati; Pseudomonadota; Gammaproteobacteria; Enterobacterales; Enterobacteriaceae
Description: bacterial LSU rRNA
Rfam family: Bacterial large subunit ribosomal RNA
Source: RNAcentral
GGUUAAGCGACUAAGCGUACACGGUGGAUGCCCUGGCAGUCAGAGGCGAUGAAGGACGUGCUAAUCUGCGAAAAGCGUCGGUAAGGUGAUAUGAACCGUUAUAGCCGGCGAUGUCCGAAUGGGGAAACCCAGUGUGAUUCGUCACACUAUCGUUAACUGAAUACAUAGGUUAACGAGGCGAACCGGGGGAACUGAAACAUCUAAGUACCCCGAGGAAAAGAAAUCAACCGAGAUUCCCCCAGUAGCGGCGAGCGAACGGGGAGCAGCCCAGAGUCUGAAUCAGCUUGUGUGUUAGUGGAACGGUCUGGAAAGUCCGACGGUACAGGGUGAUAGUCCCGUACACCAAAAUGCACAGGCUGUGAACUCGAAGAGUAGGGCGGGACACGUGGUAUCCUGUCUGAAUAUGGGGGGACCAUCCUCCAAGGCUAAAUACUCCUGACUGACCGAUAGUGAACCAGUACCGUGAGGGAAAGGCGAAAAGAACCCCGGCGAGGGGAGUGAAAAAGAACCUGAAACCGUGUACGUACAAGCAGUGGGAGCACCUUCGGGUGUGACUGCGUACCUUUUGUAUAAUGGGUCAGCGACUUAUAUUCUGUAGCAAGGUUAACCGUAUAGGGGAGCCGCAGGGAAACCGAGUCUUAACUGGGCGUUAAGUUGCAGGGUAUAGACCCGAAACCCGGUGAUCUAGCCAUGGGCAGGUUGAAGGUUGGGUAACACUAACUGGAGGACCGAACCGACUAAUGUUGAAAAAUUAGCGGAUGACUUGUGGCUGGGGGUGAAAGGCCAAUCAAACCGGGAGAUAGCUGGUUCUCCCCGAAAGCUAUUUAGGUAGCGCCUCGUGAACUCAUCUUCGGGGGUAGAGCACUGUUUCGGCUAGGGGGUCAUCCCGACUUACCAACCCGAUGCAAACUACGAAUACCGAAGAAUGUUAUCACGGGAGACACACGGCGGGUGCUAACGUCCGUCGUGAAGAGGGAAACAACCCAGACCGCCAGCUAAGGUCCCAAAGUCAUGGUUAAGUGGGAAACGAUGUGGGAAGGCACAGACAGCCAGGAUGUUGGCUUAGAAGCAGCCAUCAUUUAAAGAAAGCGUAAUAGCUCACUGGUCGAGUCGGCCUGCGCGGAAGAUGUAACGGGGCUAAACCAUGCACCGAAGCUGCGGCAGCGACACUAUGUGUUGUUGGGUAGGGGAGCGUUCUGUAAGCCUGCGAAGGUGUGCUGUGAGGCAUGCUGGAGGUAUCAGAAGUGCGAAUGCUGACAUAAGUAACGAUAAAGCGGGUGAAAAGCCCGCUCGCCGGAAGACCAAGGGUUCCUGUCCAACGUUAAUCGGGGCAGGGUGAGUCGACCCCUAAGGCGAGGCCGAAAGGCGUAGUCGAUGGGAAACAGGUUAAUAUUCCUGUACUUGGUGUUACUGCGAAGGGGGGACGGAGAAGGCUAUGUUAGCCGGGCGACGGUUGUCCCGGUUUAAGCAUGUAGGCUGGUUAUCCAGGCAAAUCCGGAUAAUCAAGGCUGAGGUGUGAUGACGAGGCACUACGGUGCUGAAGUAACAAAUGCCCUGCUUCCAGGAAAAGCCUCUAAGCAUCAGGUAACAUCAAAUCGUACCCCAAACCGACACAGGUGGUCAGGUAGAGAAUACCAAGGCGCUUGAGAGAACUCGGGUGAAGGAACUAGGCAAAAUGGUGCCGUAACUUCGGGAGAAGGCACGCUGGUGUGUAGGUGAAGCCCCUGCGGGUGGAGCUGAGACCAGUCGAAGAUACCAGCUGGCUGCAACUGUUUAUUAAAAACACAGCACUGUGCAAACACGAAAGUGGACGUAUACGGUGUGACGCCUGCCCGGUGCCGGAAGGUUAAUUGAUGGGGUUAUCCGUAAGGAGAAGCUCUUGAUCGAAGCCCCGGUAAACGGCGGCCGUAACUAUAACGGUCCUAAGGUAGCGAAAUUCCUUGUCGGGUAAGUUCCGACCUGCACGAAUGGCGUAAUGAUGGCCAGGCUGUCUCCACCCGAGACUCAGUGAAAUUGAACUCGCUGUGAAGAUGCAGUGUACCCGCGGCAAGACGGAAAGACCCCGUGAACCUUUACUAUAGCUUGACACUGAACAUUGAGCCUUGAUGUGUAGGAUAGGUGGGAGGCUUUGAAGCGUGGACGCCAGUCUGCGUGGAGCCAACCUUGAAAUACCACCCUUUAAUGUUUGAUGUUCUAACGUUGGCCCCUUACCGGGGUUGCGGACAGUGUCUGGUGGGUAGUUUGACUGGGGCGGUCUCCUCCCAAAGCGUAACGGAGGAGCACGAAGGUUAGCUAAUCCUGGUCGGACAUCAGGAGGUUAGUGCAAUGGCAUAAGCUAGCUUGACUGCGAGCGUGACGGCGCGAGCAGGUGCGAAAGCAGGUCAUAGUGAUCCGGUGGUUCUGAAUGGAAGGGCCAUCGCUCAACGGAUAAAAGGUACUCCGGGGAUAACAGGCUGAUACCGCCCAAGAGUUCAUAUCGACGGCGGUGUUUGGCACCUCGAUGUCGGCUCAUCACAUCCUGGGGCUGAAGUAGGUCCCAAGGGUAUGGCUGUUCGCCAUUUAAAGUGGUACGCGAGCUGGGUUUAGAACGUCGUGAGACAGUUCGGUCCCUAUCUGCCGUGGGCGCUGGAGAAUUGAGGGGGGCUGCUCCUAGUACGAGAGGACCGGAGUGGACGCAUCACUGGUGUUCGGGUUGUCAUGCCAAUGGCACUGCCCGGUAGCUAAAUGCGGAAGAGAUAAGUGCUGAAAGCAUCUAAGCACGAAACUUGCCCCGAGAUGAGUUCUCCCUGAGACUUUAAGUCUCCUGAAGGAACGUUGAAGACGACGACGUUGAUAGGCCGGGUGUGUAAGCGCAGCGAUGCGUUGAGCUAACCGGUACUAAUGAACCGUGAGGCUUAACCUUACAACGCCGAAGAUGUUUUG